CAACGCCAGUAUCGCCUGUCGAUUUUUUUAAAUCUGGUGCUUAGGAGAAUAGGGUAGGGGAAGAGGACCGCUGCCCACCGCCCGUGAAGGAACCGCCGCUACGCCGAUUGCGGCCUCCGGCCUGCCUCUCCGUUUAGGUCCGAGUGGUAGUGGCCUACGGCGACGAUGGGAUCGGGGGAGAAGGGGACGGCCAGAAACUCCCUCGUCGGUCGUGCUGCCGGUGGAGGAGCGAGGACGAGUUGCGGGAAGGUACCAGCUGCUGUUCGGCCACGCCCUAUUGUGCCGCUCGGCCGCCCGUCAUGGAGUGACCCUGCCGCCGCGAGUUCGAGUUACGGGUGCAGGGGAGAGACCAGGGACUAACUGCGGGAUGAGCAGCUACAGGGAUAGGUCUUCACCAUUAAGUCAGUUGAUAGACGUGAACAUUUAAACAUUAAUUCUUCUGGUUCUUCACCUGUACCUAGACUUACCUCUUCUCCUAUUCCUACCGCUUACUGAACACGUAGAAGGUACUAGUCUUGAUCUAGACAAAUAAGAACACGCUACCAGUACCAGACUGAACAUACUAACCGAUCAUCAAAAACAAACGUACCAAUGUGCCAACUUAUAACAUGUCUACCUGCUCAACACAUUGGGACUAUCAAAAACAAACGUACCAACUUAUAACAGCCCUACCUUAUCA
This 679-nucleotide ribosomal RNA is filed under the name Triticum aestivum (bread wheat). Its description in RNAcentral is "partial small subunit ribosomal RNA". The record is from RNAcentral. Lineage: Eukaryota; Viridiplantae; Streptophyta; Magnoliopsida; Poales; Poaceae.